This 333-nucleotide ribosomal RNA is filed under the name uncultured organism. RNAcentral's name for it is "bacterial SSU rRNA". It matches the Rfam family "Bacterial small subunit ribosomal RNA", at positions 98 to 447 of the family's 1533-position model. The record is from RNAcentral.
GCGGACGGGUGAGUAACGCGUAAGAACCUGCCCUUGGGAGGGGAACAACAGCUGGAAACGGCUGCUAAUACCCCAUAGGCUGAGGAGCAAAAGGAGGAAUCCGCCCAAGGAGGGGCUCGCGUCUGAUUAGUUAGUUGGUGAGGCAAUGGCUUACCAAGGCGACGAUCAGUAGCUGGUCCGAGAGGAUGAUCAGCCACACUGGGACUGAGACACGGCCCAGACUCCUACGGGAGGCAGCAGUGGGGAAUUUUCCGCAAUGGGCGAAAGCCUGACGGAGCAAUGCCGCGUGAAGGCAGAAGGCCCACGGGUCAUGAACUUCUUUUCUCGGAGAAG